UUUCGUUAUUUGAUUAAACUGGUUCAGGCUUGAUGAUUUACUUGGACUAGAAUCAAUAACAAAACUAAGGAGUGCAGAAAUAAAGUGACACCAGUAAUUUAUUCUACCUCACCACAAAGUUGGCUACAUGCAGCAGUCCGUUCACUAAAAAAGAUUUAACAUUACAAAGCACCUGAACCUCCAAACCAAUCUUCUCAAACAUCCUAAAUGCCCCAGACUUUUGAGGAUUAUACACCCCUUGACUCUACCAGCCAAGUCUUCUCUAAAAACCACAGGUUGUUGAAGGCACACUAACACCACUAUUGGGUUUGAAUACAAAGAUUGUUGUCGCAAAUUCUUGAGAUAAAACUUCAUUCCUAUUGCUUGUUUAGAUCUAAGCAGGAACAUAGUGUUGGACCAAUUCUUGAACUUUCACAAGUAGGAAUAUGGCUAAGUCCAAUUCAGUACUUUGUCCUUUGUCAAUAUCUGAAUCAUAUAUUUUCAAAUAAUAAAUGUAUCUUUUUGUGAGUGUUUCUUCUUGUAAACAAUUCUUGACCAUAUCUUUUUGUAAAUAGUUCAUAUCUUCUUGUAAAUAAUUCAAGUAUUCUUGUGAUAAACCUUGAUCAAAUCUUUUUGUAAA
Non-coding RNA from Cicer arietinum (chickpea), 619 nucleotides. NCBI's taxonomy places the organism in Eukaryota, Viridiplantae, Streptophyta, Magnoliopsida, Fabales, Fabaceae. The record is from RefSeq and is a predicted model, not a curated record.